CAUCAGAUGACAGAAAGUAAGUAAUGGCCUCUUAAACAAAAAAUAGUAAAUUAACAUCUACUUCUGGUAA
This 70-nucleotide transfer RNA is filed under the name Mekongiella xizangensis. RNAcentral's name for it is "tRNA-Lys". The record is from RNAcentral. Lineage: Eukaryota; Metazoa; Arthropoda; Insecta; Orthoptera; Pyrgomorphidae.